GCGGCUGUGUGCGAGAUGGUUUAGGCAACCUCCCUGUCACGGAGGAGUACGUGGGUUCAAGUCCCAUCGGUCGCG
RNAcentral lists this transfer RNA (75 nucleotides) under Vibrio phage pVp-1. It matches the Rfam family "tRNA". From Rfam's summary of the family: Transfer RNA (tRNA) molecules are approximately 80 nucleotides in length. RNAcentral also lists the same sequence under 4 other names. The record is from Rfam by way of RNAcentral. Lineage: Duplodnaviria; Heunggongvirae; Uroviricota; Caudoviricetes; Demerecviridae.